AGUUGGGGCAGGGGCGGGGCCCCAUGGAGUGUCCUCCUUUUUUUAAAUUAAAAUAUGGUAACCCUAGUUUCAGGGGAUUAACAGCUGAGAUGUAUGAGCCCGUUCCUGCCUGCUCUUCGGCUCCGCCCUGUUCUGUUCCUCACCUGGACUCUCCCAUUUGUGUUAUCGUAGCGCCCAGCAGCCCCAGCAGAGAGCAGGACUCCAUUGUGCUAGGCGCUGUACAAACUCAGAACAGAAAGAUGAUCCUGGCCUUAAAGAACGUACGUUCUUAAUGGAGCUGGGGCUUUAAGAAAUACAGCAAAAUACGAGACUUGCAGUAAAAUUGUGACAGUUGGCAACUCUGCACUCGAUUCUCAAUGUAAAAAAAUAGAGUUUUUGGUUACAUAUGCUGUUCUUCAUGUCCAAGGUGCCACAUACUAUAUUGCUCAGACAAUACGUCCUUCGACUUCCAAGAGUGUUGGCUUUGGCUCAAAGUAUCUGAAAUUGCUUUAUGAAGUUAGAUAUUGGUAGCGGAGUGACUUACAUCAAUGCAUCAGCCCUUAAGCUCUCAGUAGUGAAGCUGACAUGCACAGCCGGGAAGGAGAUGUAGACUGGGAUGCUGGGUUCCCCCAUUACGUUUUGUAAAAAGCCUGCCGCCGAGGUACAACAGAAAUCAAUAACUGAAGUUUAUGUGGAACCUAAGCAAAGACAAUAAGACGCAUGGGUGCCCAUCUCCUAGGCAGCAGCGGUCUAUCAAAUGCUCUUCUUUGGGUUAUGUUAACAGAGUUAAAAGUGGUGGUGCACCCAGUGAGGAAAUAAACUACACUGAGGAAAUAAACUACAGGAAAUAAACUACAGUAACUGACAAAAUAAACUACAGGAAAUAAACUACAGUAACUGACAAAAUCAUUGCCAAUCUGCGGAGCCAUCUAGUCAGAGAUCCCCUUUAAUAAAUAAGUGCUCAAACAAACUUGGCGCCACCAUCCACUCAAUGCCAACCAGGCAGAACUGUGCCAGGUUGGGAUCUUUUUAAUUACAGAGAGCCAUCAUAUCUGCAGAAUUUCCCUGCCUUUUACAGGAAGUGCCUUAAAACCCCCCCAGACUUUCACCGUUGCUCAAAACCAUGACGAAUAUAAACUGGACUGUGAAGUGCCGGAGUUGUUAUGGCCAAGCAACUGGCAGUAGCUCCCUGCUGUAACAGUGCCGAGAAGCAGAGCAGCUCUGCGCUACAGAAGUGCCUGCGGGGCAGGAAUUUUCUGUUAACGUGAUGUCCACCACCAUGAAAUCCGGAGUAUUUCACUCAGCAGAGCGAGAACAGCCUGGUUUUUAAAACACAUUACCGUUCUAAGUGAUUUAGGAUGAAAAGAGCAUAUGCUGUGGAUUUUGUGAUGAACUCUGUCAUUCAAAGAUUGGCUCUGAAGCUGGAACUCACACCUUUAAAGUGACGUGGUGGCAGUGAACGCUUAAUAAACCAUACUUAUUUGGUACAACA
Long non-coding RNA from Trachemys scripta elegans, 1471 nucleotides. RefSeq lists it as uncharacterized. The transcript is spliced from 2 exons. The record is from RefSeq and is a predicted model, not a curated record. NCBI's taxonomy places the organism in Eukaryota, Metazoa, Chordata, Testudines, Emydidae.